UACGAAGGGGGCUAGCGUUGUUCGGAAUUACUGGGCGUAAAGCGCGCGCAGGCGGUCUUCCAAGUCAGUGGUGAAAGCCCGGAGCUCAACUCCGGAACUGCCAUUGAAACUGUUGGACUUGAGUACGAGAGAGGUGAGUGGAAUUCCCAGUGUAGAGGUGAAAUUCGUAGAUAUUGGGAAGAACACCGGUGGCGAAGGCGGCUCACUGGCUCGUAACUGACGCUCAGGCGCGACAGCGUGGGGAGCGAUCCGG
This 253-nucleotide ribosomal RNA is filed under the name uncultured bacterium. RNAcentral's name for it is "partial 16S ribosomal RNA". It matches the Rfam family "Bacterial small subunit ribosomal RNA", at positions 524 to 776 of the family's 1533-position model. The record is from RNAcentral.